ACUCGAUCCGCAGCUUAUCUGGCUGCUGCUGCCACAGCUGUGGGGCUGCAUAUGCAGAUAGCCUCCAAUAAUAUUAAUACGCGAUUCCCCCCGUGGGAGGCAUGUGGAAAACUCUGUAUGUGUUUCACAAUUCUGUUUCGUCCAGAGGAGCAGUGGGGGCCCAGAAUGAUUUGAAACAGAUUUUUGGAAAAGCAAAAUAUAAUUGGAACAAAACCUAGUAGAGGCAUGUGCCACUCUUGCCACGCCCAGCUCCCUCCACCCCUGCCUGAUGUUAACCCUCUUCUCCCAUCCUGGGGAGCCUCUGACAGCAGGGAGGCGAGCACAGCACAUGGCAUCCGGCACUCCUCCUUCCAACCAGGAGCCCCUGCCUGGGACGCAUGCCCCCACCCAUCCAGAGGUGAAGACCGCUCAGCCUGUGGCUGCCUCUCUCCAGCCUCUCUGCCUACGUCCCACAGCUUCCUCCUCCGCACCUGGGUGCAGAGAGAAUUUCAUCCAAGCACAUGGCCCCUUGGUCUAACUGAGAGAAUUCUCCAGUACAUCCGUGGAGAGAUCACCAGUCGUGCUGAGGCCUGAGCCGGCAGUUCUGCAGCUGCUCAGGUGUGAUCACCUGCAGUUAGAUGUGGGACCCCUGAGCCGGCAGUGACUUGUCACAGAGUGAACGCCUCAGGAACAGGAGAGCUAUCCCGGAGACUUCCUCGGGCGCUUCGGUCUCCUGAAAACGAGGACAGCAGAUAAAUAUUGGAAAAGACAAUAUUGUGCCGAAAGGACAAAAAGUGCCGACUUGAGCCGCCCCACGCGCACCAAAGCCCUUCUCCCUCAAUGCAGACAGCCUGUGUUUCCAGGGAAAUGAAGACGAACACAUUUGUUGCAGCCUAUUGAGAGCAAGUGGAUUCUUCGCUAAUUCACAAACAUCUGUUACUCUGAAGGGCUUCAUGCAUCUUAUGAAAGGUCCGGAGAGGAGCGGAGAACGUAGGCGGACUGUGGCAACAGCGUUAACACUCGGGUCCAGGGGAGGGGCCAGGGGUCUCCUGAUGCUAUUCACUCUGCUUGCUGCAGGGCCAGAGAAGGAGAUGCCAAGUCCCAAGGGGAGACCCAGCAUCCCAGAGGAUCUCCAUCAAUAAGAGCCAGUGCUGCCUUUUGGAUUCCAGAACCAGGAAGAAGAGUGUGCUCCAGGGAGAUCGCUGUGGCGGGCAUGACAAUAAGAGCCCGUGGCCUCCAUUUCUUCAUCAUGCAACAGUGCUAGAAGAGCGGCCAGCCGCGGGCUUGCGUGAGGCUUUCAUCAGGGCGCUCAGGUGAGGACCUCAGCAGCGUGCCGGCACCUGACUCACACUCGGUAGCCCUUACCUGCGUACCUCCUGUUUCCUGUUUCCUGUUCCAGGUUCUUCCCCCCAUCCCGUCUGCUGAUCAGCAAAAGGAGGUGUUCAGUUCAACAGCACAUUUUCCAACUUCCGACUCUGCUGAUGACUGGCACUGUCCCUCAAGAAGACAGCUUUGGCCGUCCCUACACAUUUAAAUGUGCACACCCACUAAUUUCUUGGAUUAUGACUAGAGAAAUACCCACAGAAGUGCACAAGACAGAUGCCCAGGAUGUUCAGUGAAACACUGAGUGCUGAUGACUUGAAUGUCCACCAUCAUAAGACUGUCUAGAUAAGUUACAGCAUACCUAUCCCUUGGAAAGCAACGUAGCCUGGAGAAAAGAAUGAAGAAGGAAUUGAACCAUCCUCCCUCUGCUGAAAAAAAUCCCAUGAGGAAUUCUGAUCAGAUGCCAGAGCUGUGGAGCCGAUCCCCUGGAGGCUAUCAUGUUUCUAGAAGGCUCCUAGAAGGCAACAAGUCUUGCAACCUGACUCUUAACUGACUUCUUACCUGUUGGAUUGUCUCAGGGCAAGGGGAAAAGGACACAGGCAUGCUUUCUGCUUCCAGACAAAAUUAUGUAUUUCAUAAUGGAAGAAAUCUUUUCAUACCAACAAUUGAAAUUCACUGGACCCUGUCAAAGGCAACAGAGGGCAAGAGACCUGGAACCCAGCUGCCUGGGUUUGGGCACCAGCUCUACCCCUUAUCUGUGGGGCCCCGGGCAAGUUGCUUAAUGUGUCUAUGCUCCGGUUUCCUCCGGUAAAAUGCGGGUGAUAACAGUACAUGAAUCCAUGUAUUUUUGUGAAGAUAAAACUGGGUUUGUCAGACUGAAGGAUUGUCCAGGGACGCUGGGGGAUACAACUGGGAAAGUCCCAGGCAAACCCACCCUAAGAUAAAAGGGGAGUACACUGUAGUGCUUUAGGCACAUUUCACUGCUCCGUCCGUAGUCUUAGCUGCCAUCAUUCACGGUUACCCCCGGCAGCCAUCUUCCUUGCCAUUGGUGCCAUGGUCCUUGUUUACUUAUCGUCCACUCUAUAGGGGACUUCCGUGUGUCUCUUAACCCACAACACCAUUGAUCUGGCACCACCAAAGUCCCCCAGGAAAUGUUUCUUGCUGUUUAUAGAACAAGCUUCCAGAGAAUCAACUAUAUGCCAGGCAAACAGCUUCCCAACAAAUCGUGUAGUCUUUCUCCCUCAACCCUCCAGCAGCAUCUAACUUGAAGGUUAAAAUAGAGAGAACGCCAUGUGAUGACAGACUGAUGUACUCACAUCCAAGGAAUAGCCAUGAUGGCCAGCAACCCCAUGAAGCUAAGGGGAGAGGCCUAGAACCUUCCCCCUCACAACCCCCAGGAGGACCCAACCCUGGCAACACCUUGAUUUUGGACUUCUGGCCUCCAGAACCGUAAGAGGACAGAUUUUUGUCGGUUUAAGCCCUCUGGUUGGUGGCACCUUGUUACAGCAGCCCGAAGAAUCAAGGACAGCCUGCUUAUGACCCAAGUCUAGACCUUCCCAGUCUUGUGUCCUGACAAAUCCAAGGGCCUCUUCAUUGGUCUCCCUGCCUGUGUUAUCUGUCUCUCCUCAUGUCUGUCUGAAAACACCAGCUUCUGGCUCCCAGGUCAGAGACACCCCGUGACGCCCAGCGCCUCCAUCAGCACUUCCCAAAUUUACCGGAGGGUACGAAUCCCACAGAUGAUACUUCAAAUUACAGGUUCCCUGGCCCCAUUCCAGACCUCUGGAAAUGGGCUUGUGGAAGGGGAGCCUUGGAAUCUGCAUUUUUAAUGAACAUCCAGAAUGACUGGUAACCUCAGGGACAUUUGGGGCACUCUGGCCCACGAGAUGAAAUCCAGAAGAGACCGAGGAUCUUGGUUCUGUGACUUCCAUACCAUGACACCAACCUCAUAUGCAAAUGUCACUUCCUGAGGUUUCCAGGGCCUCAGAAUUCAUCCCGCUGUGCUGCCUGCCUCGCAGUCCUUCAGCUUGCUCAUCCUCUACCCAAGGAUGCUGGCGUCCUUGAGAACCACUCCGGCCUCGCCAUCCCCCCCCCCGCCCCCCCGAAAACUGCUCUUCCUUUCCUCCCUCUUCUAAAUCUAGAAUCCAGAAUCUGAAUGAUGCCACUUAAAGCUUAAAGUUAUCGCUGAUUACUCAGAGACAGCCUUUCGGUGAACUCAGAAUAAAAACGAAACCCCACACCCCCGCCUGCAAAGACCCAGCAUGACCGGGCCCCGCCCACCUCUCACACGCCUCCUCUUCUGGAACCAUUCUCCUUCAGUCUCGAAGUUCCAGGCACGGGCUUUCCUGUAAUUCCUCAAACACACCGCAUUUCUCCCACCUGGAUCCUUGCCACAUGCCCUUCUCUCUCCCCACCCCCAACACCUUAUAAUAUUUCAAUAUCAUGUCCUCAGAGCUUUUCCUACAACCCAUCCUAAUUAGAACGCGCACGCGUGCACACAUACACACACACAUUCACUCUCUCUCUCUCUCCACUUAUACUCAAUCACCACCCUGUUUGACCAAUUGCUGACAUUUAAAAAUCAGGAAGUGUGACGUAAAACCAUCCAACCUCAUAAGGAAUCAGAAGACCUGCCAUGACAAAGCCAUGUUCUCAGCCACACAGGUGGGAGGUGAGCCCUGGCCUGGCCACCCCCCAGCCUCUCCACUCCCUUCAGCUACCAUCCUGGGCCCAAACAACCGUGUUUGUGACACUUCCUUGACCCCCCUCCCAAAAUGAAUUCACUUAUCACAUGUCUGCCUCAUGGAAACAGAUGGUCUUGGUCCCCAGAGCAGCCCCAGCGUCUCGCCUGUGCCAGGCACAGGGCUGGACCUCACCGAACAAGAACUGAAUGAGUGAAUGAUGGAUAGAUGGAUUCCUGCCUUCCCGUGUCCCAUAAGCCAUACCAUUCAUUUCGCCUUUUAAUUACACCCUUCCCCACUGCACUCAUUAAUUUGCUGCCCCCGGUGCCUCCCUCCUCUGUAGAGCUUAUGAAAAUACAAAUCUGAUCCUUUCAUCGCCCAGUUGUAAACAUUCGAGGAGUCUCCCAGCACCACCGGGGAAAGCACAAACUGGUCAGGAGAGCAUGUGAGGCCCAUCUCAUCAUCCUUUCCCACCUCCAGAGAGGAGAGGGCCCCCACCACCGGGCACACCCACGCCCCACGCAAUGGCUUACGGAACACACCAUGUUCUUCCCCGCCCCCACACCUCUGCUGCAAAGCUCCCUUUCCCUGGAAUGCCUCCUCCCCCGUCCCACAGCCCGCCAUGCCUCUAGCAAACUCCUACUCAUUCUUCUGCCCGAUCGCUAACCAGAGAGUCACUUCACUGUGAAACACGCCAGACCGCCCCCCCACCCCCAGGCUGACUUAGUCAUUCUCUCUCUUCUGCUCCCACCCUCCUCCUUUCAUACCCUGGCCUCAGCCCUGAGUAAUGGCUCAAAAUAGCAGCUGGUGUCUUCUGAGUGCUUGCCGUGUGCCAGGACAGAGUGAGCUUUAUCGCCUUUAAUCCUUGCACUCGUGCUGAGCCCCUGCCUGCAAGGAAGCCUUCCCCGCUCCGCCCCCUCCCCCAAACACACAGAGAUGCAGGAGGAUCACUUUCUCACCCCAGCUUCCCUGAGAGGUCACCCCUGCCACCUCCUGUUGGAUUUUCUUUCUCCUUCCACACCUUGCUCUACCCCCCUGGCCUCCCCAUCUUCCCUCCCUGCUUUAUUUUUCUCCACGUAUCACUAACACACUACACGUUUUGAUUAAUCUGUGUGUUCAGUCUCUACCCUGUGGAAUGUCAGCUCUGGGAGGGCAGGGAUGUUGUCACGUCUUGUUUACUACUGUAAGCUUACCUUCUAGAAUAGCACCUGGCCCAUAAUAGACUAUAAAUACUUAUUAAUUCAAGGAGGAUAGAUGUUAUCACUAUCUUCGGUUGAUUCCCAAGGUAAAUGGUCUAGAGAGAGAGAGUAAGAUGGGUUCCACAGGUGGUAGAGUCAAAUGUGAUCUCUGGAAUGUCAACUCCAACAACCCCCCACCACCCUCAACUACAGCGGCCACCACUUCCUGAAGACAUCUCUCCCUGGCUCUGACUUCUUAGCUGGACGUGGGUUCCUUGGAAGCAAGAACUCUAUUGUAUUCAGAAUUUUGUUUCCUUGCAUGAUCCAUGGUAGAAGCUCAAGAAUAUUUGCGGAACCAAUCUAUAUGUGAACUGUGAAAUGCUAGAUGGUAGAAAUCCUAUCCUCACUUUUUAUCCUUUAUCUCCAUGCUGAAAGCAGUGCUGUAGACAUAGCUGACGCUUUAAAUACUUACUACAUUAACAAAUUCUGUUAUGGCACUAGGUCAUAAAAAUAAUUAGCAAUCAUGACAAUAAUGGGUAACCUUUACAAAGUCCUCACUCUGUGCUGGGCCCUUUCCUGAAUGCUUUGCACACAAAUGAAGAUGAUCAACUCUCUUCCUAUCCUCAUUUUAUAGAUGAUGAAAUGGAAGCUCAGAGAGGUUAAGAGCUUGCCCAAGGUCACACAGCUAGGAAAUAGCAGAGGCAGGAUUUGAAUGUAGGCACCUGAGAGUCACAUUUUUAACUAUUCUGGGCUGCAUCUCAGCUAAGAGAUGUCCAUUACAAGGCCACCCCGUGUGAAGACAAGAAGAAUGGUUUAUUAUACAUUUCUGUUUUAUUUCAAGGGAUUUCUUGAAAUUCUGCCAAAGGCUUUGGUAGGCAGUACUACUUGCUAAAUAAUAACCACUAGCAUGCGUGUUACACUUGAUGGUUGGCAGAGCGGCUUCAUGCACUGCUUUUCCGCUGACCCCUGCAACAAUGUUAUGAGGUGGCUGCUUCUGUCUCGUCUCAUAGAAGAGGACUCUGACGCUCUGAGCGGUUAAACGAACAAGUUCAAGGUCACCCAACCAAUGCGGAGCAGAGCAAGGGCUCAAGUUAACGUCUAUCAGAAAAAUAUUAA
Molecule: long non-coding RNA, 6274 nt
Organism: Mustela erminea (ermine)
Lineage: Eukaryota; Metazoa; Chordata; Mammalia; Carnivora; Mustelidae
Exons: 8
Source: RefSeq, a predicted model, not a curated record